RNAcentral lists this ribosomal RNA (428 nucleotides) under uncultured archaeon. RNAcentral describes it as "bacterial SSU rRNA". It matches the Rfam family "Archaeal small subunit ribosomal RNA", at positions 474 to 903 of the family's 1478-position model. The record is from RNAcentral.
UACCUGCAGCUCAAGUGGUGAUCGUUAUUAUUGGGCCUAAAACGUCCGUAGCCGGUCUUAUAAAUGCCUGGGUAAAUCGUGUAGCUCAACUAUACGAAUUCCGGGUAGACUGUAAGACUUGGGACCGGGAGAGGCUAGAGGUACUCCUGGGGUAGAGGUGAAAUUCUGUAAUCCUGGGGGGACCACCAGUGGCGAAGGCGUCUAGCUAGAACGGGUCUGACGGUGAGGGACGAAGCCCUGGGGCGCAAACCGGAUUAGAUACCCGGGUAGUCCAGGGUGUAAACGCUGCUUGCUUGAUGUUAGUCGGGCUCCGAGCCCGAUUAGUGUCGGAGAGAAGUUGUUAAGCAAGCUGCCUGGGAAGUACGGUCGCAAGACUGAAACUUAAAGGAAUUGGCGGGGAGCACAGCAACGGGUGGAGCGUGCGGUUU